This 253-nucleotide ribosomal RNA is filed under the name uncultured bacterium. RNAcentral describes it as "partial 16S ribosomal RNA". It matches the Rfam family "Bacterial small subunit ribosomal RNA", at positions 524 to 776 of the family's 1533-position model. The record is from RNAcentral.
UACGGAGGGUGCAAGCGUUGUCCGGAUUCACUGGGUUUAAAGGGUCCGCAGGCGGUUUAUUAAGUCAGUGGUGAAAGCCUACAGCUCAACUGUAGAACUGCCAUUGAUACUGAUAAACUUGAGUAUAGACGAGGUAGGCGGAAUUUAUGAUGUAGCGGUGAAAUGCAUAGAUAUCAUAAAGAACACCAAUUGCGAAGGCAGCUUACUAGACUAUAACUGACGCUCAUGGACGAAAGCGUGGGGAGCGAACAGG